GACGAACGCUGGCGGCGUGCUUAACACAUGCAAGUCGAACGGAAAGGCCCUGCUUGCAGGGUACUCGAGUGGCGAACGGGUGAGUAACACGUGGGUGAUCUGCCCUGCACUUCGGGAUAAGCCUGGGAAACUGGGUCUAAUACCGGAUAGGAGCCAUUUUUAGUGUGAUGGUUGGAAAGUUUUUUCGGUGUAGGAUGAGCUCGCGGCCUAUCAGCUUGUUGGUGGGGUAAUGGCCUACCAAGGCGGCGACGGGUAGCCGGCCUGAGAGGGUGGACGGCCACAUUGGGACUGAGAUACGGCCCAGACUCCUACGGGAGGCAGCAGUGGGGAAUAUUGCACAAUGGGCGCAAGCCUGAUGCAGCGACGCCGCGUGGGGGAUGACGGCUUUCGGGUUGUAAACUCCUGUCGCUAGGGACGAAGCUUUUUGUGACGGUACCUAGAUAAGAAGCACCGGCUAACUACGUG
RNAcentral lists this ribosomal RNA (465 nucleotides) under uncultured bacterium. RNAcentral's name for it is "partial 16S ribosomal RNA". It matches the Rfam family "Bacterial small subunit ribosomal RNA", at positions 28 to 507 of the family's 1533-position model. The record is from RNAcentral.